AAUGGCCGAAAGGCUGAACCAGUAACUUGGAAGAAUGGAAGUGUAUUUGUAUAAAUACAAUAGCGAUUAAUUCGCAUAAAAUUCUAAAUAGAUUAUUUAUAAUGACAAAAUCUAUUUAUAAGUCUUGACCAAACUACGUGCCAGCCGUCGCGGUAAUACGUAGGAGGCUAGUGUUAGUUAUCUUUAUUGGGUUUAAAGGGUAAGUAGACGGCGAUAAAAACUCCAAAAGAGUACUUUAUUGCUAGAGUUAUAUGUGAGAAGGAAGAAUACCUGGAGUAGAGAUAGAAUUUGUUGAUACCAGGGGGACUGUCAACGGCGAAGGCAUCCUUCUAUGUAAUAACUGACGUUGAGAGACGAAGGCUUGGGUAGCAAACAGGAUUAGAUACCCUAAUAGUCCAAGCAGACAAUGAUGAGUGCCAUACAUUAGAUAUAAUUUAAUGUAUAAAUGAAAGUGUAAGCAUUCCACCUCAAGAGUACUAUGGCAACAUAUAAACUGAAAUCAUUAGACCGUUUCUGAAACCAGUAGUGAAGUAUGUUAUUUAAUUCGAUGAUCCGCGAAAAACCUUACCACAGCUUGAAUAACUUUUAUGAAAAAUUGUUACAAGCGCUGCAUGGCUGUCUUUAGUUAAUGUCGUGAGAUUUGGUUAACUCCUUUAAUUAACGAAAACCCUCACUUUAUUUAUCUGUAUAAAGUGGUUCACUACUACAUUGGACUAGAUAAUAGGGAUUAAGACAAGUC
Molecule: ribosomal RNA, 739 nt
Filed under: Penicillium malachiteum
Lineage: Eukaryota; Fungi; Ascomycota; Eurotiomycetes; Eurotiales; Aspergillaceae
Description: SSU rRNA
Rfam family: Bacterial small subunit ribosomal RNA
Source: RNAcentral